RNAcentral lists this unclassified non-coding RNA (323 nucleotides) under Hevea brasiliensis (rubber tree). Lineage: Eukaryota; Viridiplantae; Streptophyta; Magnoliopsida; Malpighiales; Euphorbiaceae. The record is from RNAcentral.
GUGAGCAAGCAUUUUUUAGCACUUGUGACUUUGCAAGAUUUUCAUUGUCUUUUGAGGCUAGGUAGUUCAAAUGGGAUACUAUUAACAUUAGUGCUUAUCUCAACAAAGACGAUGAUUAUGGAAUCAAUAUUGAUAUUUGAAUCUCAUGUAGGCAAUGACAUAAUUAUUGCCAUCUGACUUGAAGUCUUUGAAACCCUGUCUUUUGGUUCAUUGGUCAAAAGAACCUUCAGUUUUGUAGAAAGUAGUAGGCGCACGUUAGCUGCUAGAAAAUUUGGAGCUGGCACAAGGGACAAAUUGUAGGUGUACUUGAGCAAAGUUAAGCG